AUGGCGAUGGAGAUGAGGCUUCCGGUGGCUUGCAAGCCUCUUAGCGAGAGACUGGGUCAAGACACUAAGAAACAUCUAGUGGUGCCAGGGGACACAAUCACUAUGGACACGGGAUUCAUGCAGGGCCAUGGAAUGCAUAUGGAAGAAGAGAAGCUCAUUGUAUCUGUUGCCGGCUCUGUGGCGAUAAGUUGAUCUGUGUGAAAGCUUUGAAACCCAGAUACAUUGGUGAAGCAGGAGACAUUGUAGUGGGAAGAAUCACAAAGGUUCAACAGAAGAGGUGGAAGGUGGAGACCAACUCCGGGCUGGAUUCGGUCCUGCUGUUCUCGCCCAUGAACCUUCCUGGAGGAGAGCUGAAGAGAAGAUCUACAGAAGAUGAGCUUGCAAUGACAGGUUUCUUACAGGAAGGGGACCUUAUCGGUGCUGAGGUCCAGGCAGUGUUCUCUGACGGAGCUGUCUCUCUGCACACGAGGAGCCUGAAAUAUGGAAAACUAGGUCAGGGGGUUUUGGUCCAGGUGUCCCCCUCCCUGGUGAAACGGCAGAAGAUCCACUUUCAUGAUUUGCCAUGUGGUGCCUCAGUGAUUCUUGGUAACAACGGCUUCAUCUAGAUUUACCCAACACCUGAGCACAAAGAAGAGGAAGCAGGGGGCUUCACUGCAAACCUGGAGCCUGUCUCUCUUGCUGAUGGAGAGGUGAUAUCCUGGCUUCGGAACUGCAUCAUCUCGCUGGUAACUCAGAGGACGAUGCUGUAUGAUACCAGCAUCCUGUACUGCUAUGAAGCAUCCCUUCCACGUUAGAUCAAAGACAUCUUAAAGCCAGAAAUAAUGGAGGAGAUUGUGAUGGAAACACGUCAGAGGCUUUUAGAACAGGAGGGAGAAGGAGGUACUCCAGAAGGACAGGACUGUGGACCUUGCAGGAGUGAAGACUGUGAUGUGUGGUCCCCAUAUGCGGCUCAGUGAAGACUCGAGAGAUCAUCACUUUGUCUGCAUUGACAGACCUGUGACUGCCUCCAGCCCACAGGCCUGCUUUCUCUUGUCCUAACACCAAGCCUGGAUGGCAGAUGAACAGCGCUCCCUUGGGCUGUCGGCUGAGUCUCAGCAUUAGGGAAUAGUUUCAGGUCUUUCAAAGUGCACAGUGUUCCAGUUGAAUGGACUCCCAUCCUGGAAUAAUACGGAGAAUCCUUUGUCUUCCACUCACUGUCAUUCACAAGGCACAGUGCCCCAUGAAAUUGCCCCAAUAGAAAACAUGGCAUCCCUGACCCCCAAAUGGUCUAUUUUGGCCUCCAUUCCUAUAUCCUUUAAAUGACUGAGAGUGCAGCUGGUAAAGUUGGAAGAAUAAAGUUAACCAAGCAGGCCAGG
This is a non-coding RNA of Macaca mulatta (Rhesus monkey), 1355 nucleotides long. NCBI's taxonomy places the organism in Eukaryota, Metazoa, Chordata, Mammalia, Primates, Cercopithecidae. The record is from RefSeq and is a predicted model, not a curated record.